Molecule: ribosomal RNA, 460 nt
Filed under: uncultured bacterium
Lineage: Bacteria
Description: partial 16S ribosomal RNA
Rfam family: Bacterial small subunit ribosomal RNA
Source: RNAcentral
CCUACGGGAGGCAGCAGUGAGGAAUAUUGGUCAAUGGACGCAAGUCUGAACCAGCCAUGCCGCGUGCAGGAAGACGGCUCUAUGAGUUGUAAACUGCUUUUGUACGAGGGUAAAUCCCGAUACGUGUAUCGGGUUGAAAGUAUCGUACGAUUAAGGAUCGGCUAACUCCGUGCCAGCAGCCGCGGUAAUACGGAGGAUUCAAGUGUUAUCCGGAUUUAGUGGGUUUAAAGGGUGCGUAGGCGGUUCGAUAAGUUAGAGGUGAAAGCCCGGGGCUCAACUCCGGCACUGCCUCUGAUACUGUCGGGCUAGAGUUUAGUUGCGGUAGGCGGAAUGUAUGGUGUAGCGGUGAAAUGCAUAGAGAGCAUACAGAACACCGAUUGCGAAGGCGGCUUACUGGACUGUAACUGACGUUGAGGCUCGAAAGCGUGGGGAGCAAACAGGAUUAGAUACCCUGGUAGUC